UAGGGAAUCUUCGGCAAUGGACGAAAGUCUGACCGAGCAACGCCGCGUGAGUGAAGAAGGUUUUCGGAUCGUAAAACUCUGUUGUUAGAGAAGAACAAGGACGUUAGUAACUGAACGUCCCCUGACGGUAUCUAACCAGAAAGCCACGGCUAACUACCUGCCAGCAGCCGCGGUAAUACGUAGGUGGCAAGCGUUGUCCGGAUUUAUUGGGCGUAAAGCGAGCGCAGGCGGUUUCUUAAGUCUGAUGUGAAAGCCCCCGGCUCAACCGGGGAGGGUCAUUGGAAACUGGGAGACUUGAGUGGAGAAGAGGAGGGUGGAAUUCCAUGUGUAGCGGUGAAAUGCGUAGAUAUAUGGAGGAACACCAGUGGCGAAGGCGGCUCUCUGGUCUGUAACUGACGCUGAGGCUCGAAAGCGUGGGGAGCAAACAGG
This 429-nucleotide ribosomal RNA is filed under the name Gemmatimonadota bacterium. Its description in RNAcentral is "Gemmatimonadetes bacterium partial 16S ribosomal RNA". It matches the Rfam family "Bacterial small subunit ribosomal RNA", at positions 355 to 776 of the family's 1533-position model. The record is from RNAcentral. Lineage: Bacteria; Pseudomonadati; Gemmatimonadota.